Molecule: ribosomal RNA, 504 nt
Filed under: uncultured bacterium
Lineage: Bacteria
Description: partial 16S ribosomal RNA
Rfam family: Bacterial small subunit ribosomal RNA
Source: RNAcentral
UGGGGAAUAUUGCACAAUGGGCGAAAGCCUGAUGCAGCAACGCCGCGUGCGGGAUGACGGCCUUCGGGUUGUAAACCGCUUUCAGCAGGGACGAAGGUUUUCUGACGGUACCUGCAGAAGAAGCACCGGCUAACUACGUGCCAGCAGCCGCGGUGAUACGUAGGGUGCGAGCGUUGUCCGGAAUUAUUGGGCGUAAAGAGCUUGUAGGCGGUCCGUUGCGUCGGAAGUGAAAACUCAGGGCUUAACCCUGAGCCUGCUUUCGAUACGGGCGGACUCGAGGGAUGUAGGGGAGAACGGAAUUCCUGGUGGAGCGGUGGAAUGCGCGGAUAUCAGGAGGAACACCAGUGGCGAAGGCGGUUCUCUGGACAUUCCUGACGCUGAGAAGCGAAAGCGUGGGGAGCAAACAGGCUUAGAUACCCUGGUAGUCCACGCCGUAAACGGUGGGCACUAGGUGUGGGACCCAUUCCACGGGUUCCGUGCCGUAGCUAACGCAUUAAGUGCCCC